RNAcentral lists this long non-coding RNA (1126 nucleotides) under Capra hircus (goat). Its description in RNAcentral is "lncRNA (ENSCHIG00010021629.1)". The record is from RNAcentral. Lineage: Eukaryota; Metazoa; Chordata; Mammalia; Artiodactyla; Bovidae.
CCAUGGGGUUGCAAAGAGUUGGAACCAACUGAGCGACUUUCACUUUUCAGUUAAACUUAAUUGUUAUCUCUGAGAGCCUGAGGGUAGGGAAAGGGUGGUUUAAAGUUUCUGCUUUAAUAUUCACUCUCUUCUGCAAUCCUCUUUCUAAGUCUGACCCCUGACUCAAAUAUUUAGCAGUUUCCCAGGCAGAGCUCUUUGACUAAUCUCCCCCUCAGCACAGGAAGCCCCCAGGACCCCUCCUGGAAGACAGUCUAGAUGAAAGCAACAGACCUCAUUGCUGUUCUUGCUGGGUGACUGCCUGCAGUACAAGAGGUUUUUCCCCUAAGCAGCGCCCCCAGCAGAUUUUGGGGAUCGUGAAAAAUAUGGGCUGGGAGUGGGGAAUUCCCCAGUGCUUGCCAGCCCUGUCUCACUGAUGGUGUCAAAAGAGUCACUACUAGCUCCCUAGUUGCUGGGCAUAGUGCCAUCUGUGCUCCUGGCAGUCGAGUUCCCAGCGGGCACUGCCCAUCUGCACCCCAGCCUGGCCCACAGGGGUAGAGUCACACUCAUGCUAUUGGGGAAGCAGAGCAGUGGUAUGAUCUGAGAAGGGAGGGGGGUUUCAAAAGCCUUUCCUGGGAACACCCCUUUAUCUUUGCUUCCCUGAGGCUGCAACCUAGUAGUGCAUUACCCAGUUCCCUUUACUGGCUGCCCUUUCAGGCCUUCUUACACUUCACAAGGCCCUCAUUUUCUCUUCAUUUACUCAGGGCUUUGAGAACAAAGGUGGCAGCCUCCUGGUGAAAAGAACCCCAGACACACCACUUCUCUCCCCUUUAGUCUGUGCCCUCCCGGACCACGCUUCCCCCAAAUCUUACAGCAUCAACGAGGCCUGCCCAGCCAGAAUGCAAUCACCUCUAGGAGGGCAGUGGCUCACUGUUGGAUCUCCAGUACCCAGAACCUGGCGCAUCACAGGUCUGAUGGCUUUGGGAGUCACACGACAUCUUCUCUGGCCCACUGGAGACAAGUCACAGCAGGACCGGAAGAUCCCACAUCCACUCGCAUGCUAUAAAAACCCGCUUGCUAUCCACAUAAUGUAAAAAUCUCCGUGCCAGUUUGGGACCCAGCUCUGGGCUCCCCACACCACAGUCCUCAC